CUAUUCGCCAGGGGACUACGAGCAUUAGCUUGAAACCCAAAGGACUUGGCGGUGCUUUAGAUCCACCUAGAGGAGCCUGUUCUAGAACCGAUAACCCCCGUUCAACCUCACCUUCCCUUGUUCAUUCCGCCUAUAUACCGCCGUCGUCAGCUUACCCUGUGAAGGUAAUGUAGUAAGCAAAACCAGUAUAACUCAAAACGUCAGGUCGAGGUGUAGCAUAUGGGAGGGGAAAAAAUGGGCUACAUUCUCUAUUUUAGAGAAUACGGAUAAUGAAAUGAAAAAUCAUUUGAAGGAGGAUUUAGCAGUAAGCAAAAAGUAGAGUGUUUUGCUGAAACUGGCCCUGAAGCGCG
This 350-nucleotide ribosomal RNA is filed under the name Atherina breviceps (Cape silverside). Its description in RNAcentral is "partial 12S ribosomal RNA". It matches the Rfam family "Bacterial small subunit ribosomal RNA", at positions 865 to 1383 of the family's 1533-position model. Lineage: Eukaryota; Metazoa; Chordata; Actinopteri; Atheriniformes; Atherinidae. The record is from RNAcentral.